CCUACGGGGGGCAGCAGUCGAGAAUCUUCGGCAAUGAGCGCAAGCUUGACCGAGCGACGCCGCGUGCGGGAUGAAGGCCUUCGGGUUGUAAACCGCUGUCGUAGGGGAGCAAGAAAUGAGGGUUCUCCCUCAAAUUUGAGCGAUCCUAGGAGGAAGGACGGGCUAAGUUCGUGCCAGCAGCCGCGGUAAGACGAACCGUCCAAACGUUAUUCGGUAUCACUGGGCUUAAAGAGUUCCUAGGCGGCUCCGUGAAAUCCCUCGGCUUAACCGAGGAAUUGCGCUUCAAACCGUGGAGCUAGAGGUAGACAGGGGUAAGCGGAACAGAUGGUGGAGCGGUGAAAUGCGUUGAUAUCAUCUGGAACACCGGUGGCGAAAGCGGCUUACUGGGUCUUUACUGACGCUGAGGAACGAAAGCUAGGGUAGCGAACGGGAUUAGAUACCCGAGUAGUC
RNAcentral lists this ribosomal RNA (450 nucleotides) under uncultured bacterium. Its description in RNAcentral is "partial 16S ribosomal RNA". It matches the Rfam family "Bacterial small subunit ribosomal RNA", at positions 338 to 795 of the family's 1533-position model. The record is from RNAcentral.